UUUGCUUUGAUAAAGGAUUAAUUCAAAUUUUGGAAUGAAAAGAAGAGAUUUUGAAGCCCUAAAACUGUACUGUGUGACAAAACUCCUGUUCUUGGGAUAUGGUGGCAGAAGUAAGGGAAAGUGUCAGAAAAAGUCCCGCAAGGUGAGAAAAACUGAAAAAGAGACCCCUUUCCUAUAGAGGCUCACGAAGGGGAAAUUGCAACUGUGCGACCCUGUCUGCUAGCUUUCUCUGUCACUUCAUCCCCCAUUCCUGUUGCUGUGUGCACUUUUAUCCAACCCUCUUAAUGUCCAUGGCUGCGCUACCAGCAAAAUCUAACCCCAUCUGCUUGGCUAAGCUUCUUGCGCUCACCUAUACCUGAGGAGUACGACAUCAGGCUUCAGGGCUUAUUGAAGUCAUUACUCACAUCAUUGCACUAAUCACAAACAGAAGUGAAAGUUGUAAAUUGUAUAUAAUUACAUUUCAUAGAGAAAAAAGUAGAUUUAAAAAUGGCAAUUAAUAUUCUUAAUAGCCAAAAGUUAUUGCUAAUUAAUAAGAAAAACAUAAGCACUCCAAUUGAAAAAAAAUGAGCAAAGGUCAUAAAGACAUAAAACUCGCCUGUGGAAACAUACGUAGAGGAAACACAGAAUUAGUGAGUGUGUGUAUGGAAAUAAAUGGAAGGAUAAUGCUUGCUACCCAGUGUGGGCUUUGGGGGUAGAUCUACCUGGACUGAGUUCUGGAUUCACUAUUUACUAGCUCCAUGACCUUCAGCAAAGUAACCUCUCUAAGCCUUUGUUUUUAUCUGUAAAAUAGGGAUACUUAUUUUCCCUGCCUUGAGGGGUUAUUGUGAGGAUAAAAGAAAAUAAUUCUGUAAAGGGCUUAGUAAAGUGCCUGGUGCAGAGAAAUUUUUCAGUGCAGAUUAGCAAUUGUCACUGCUAGUAGUAUAUUUGCAUUGAUAACAAUUAGUAAUUUAACAUCUCACUGAAAUCAAAGAAAUGCAAUUAAAACAACAAAUACAUAUUAUUUGUUACUUAUCAGAUUGGAAAACAGCCACUGUUGGUUAGAUGUGGAGAGAUGGGUUCUCUUGUGCAAUUCUGGGAUGGUAGGACCUGAUGCCCCAUUUCUGCAGGGCAAUUUGGCAAUAUACAUUAACGUUGAACAUUCUGAUAGUUUUUGACCCAGUCAUUCUUCUCUCAGAAACUUAUUCCUGGGAGAUAACUGAACAAAUGCACAAUAAUGAAUAUAUAAGAAUGUUUAUCCUGGCAUUUUUUUUUAUAGAAACAAAAAUUCAGAAGCAACUUAAACAUCCUUCAGUGAGAUUGACUAAUAAGUCCUGCUUCAUUUUUAUGACAGAAUGCUACUACUAAUAGCAGUGUUCUAGAUUUUCAUCCACCAUCAUGGAUAAAGCUCUCCGUCAUGUGGAUGGUCUAUGAUUCAUGCAAGAAGACAGAACCAAUGUUUUGCAAGACCUUCCCAUGAAGUAGAAAGAACAGUAGUGUUCACUCCAUAAGAGGCGUGCGCUACCACUUGCCUUGCCUCAUGGGCAAUGAGGAAGUUGCAUGGGUUUCCUACGGCUCUGCAGGGGUGGAGUGAGCCAGAAAGAACUGGUCAGCCCUAGACAUUCAGGUGCUAUCAAAUACCAGCCCUAGGGUCAAGAACACUUAAAAACAAAACAAACUUGAAACUUCCUUUGCUUGUGUUGCUUAGAAUCACUGCGGUAGGAGGAUUCCUGAGGCAUUACCUGGAUAGUCUCAUCUGGCUGGACAUGCAGGAGAACUGGGAGACUGCCGAGACUGCCACGUGGGUUUUGGAGGCUGAGAAGUCCAAGACUGAGGGGCUGGCAUCUGACGAGGGCCUUCUUGCUGCUUCAUUCCACGGCAAAAUGGCAAAGAGAAGAUGAGAAGAAAGGCUCAAAGGGACGGUGGGACUUGACUGAGGACCCAGCACCUCCUGGACCUGAAUCAAGGCCCUCUGUCCCGCUGCUUUUGUUGUUGUUUACCCUGCAACUUCACAGCCCUUCAGAAGGCCCUGGACAUCAUGUGCAAGCUCCGUGGAUGGCCUGAGAUUCAUCCUUCCAAGUUGUUUUCUGACUGAGAGGCAACAUUUUAAAUUGUGAUCCCCCCUUACCCCACCACACACACUGAAACAAAAGUUUCAAGAAGUCAUUACCACACAAUGACUCAGAUAUGUUCUAGUCUAGUCUGUCUAUUCCAUUCCAUUCCAGUCUCUUUCCAAACGAAAAUAAAAGGAAGGAAAUGCUGCAUGCGACUUGGUAAGUUAAUUUCAGGACACCUUGGGACUGCUUCCUGCUGCAUGAGGCAUCAGCACACAGCAGGGGAUAUUUUGCAUUCCUGUGUGCACCGUGGGUUAGACAGGCUGCUUGGCCCUAAGUGGAGAAUGGAACUCCAGUAGAAAGGCUGAGAUGCACUGCAAGUAACCACUGCAGAAAGGAGAGGAUGCCCACAGGCAGGCUGAAGUGGACCCGUGUGGAAGGAACACUUCAAGACCACUGGCCAAGAGACUUCCUUCAUUUUUAUCCCUUCCUGUUUUUCGCCUGUGCUGAGGAUUCACCACCAGUGUGGGGAGCCUCUGACUGUAAAAGGAAAGCUGACUCUGGCUCCUUCGUGUUUUCUGUUAAGUUGGGGCCUAAGUUUUUCUGCCAGCCUUUGCGGAGGAAAUGCAGCUUCCCUGGCACACUGCCCGGUCAAGGGACGUUGAAUCCAUUGCAAUCAGCAGUUGAAGAUCCACACUACAGGCCAUGUUCUUAAAAUAAGUGGCUCCAGGACUUCCAAGAGGCAGAAGGGGCUUCAGCUGGCCAUGGGCAGGAUCCAAGUGGAGCUUCAUCCCUGCAGAGCAAUGCCUGGCUCUCAGCGGAGGCAGUCUGGAGCAGGGCUUCUACCCUUUUCAGCUCAUAGAUUACUUUGGAAUCUGAUGAACACUGGGAGCCUUCUCCUUAGAAGAACAUACAUAUGCACGAGAAUGAGACAAUUACAUAACAUUCCUUGGGUUUCACAGAUGCUGAAGCCAAUGACUUGCUUGAAGCCUGGAAGAGGGUGUUGACCUGGAGAAUCCUAAAGGCCAAAAUUUAGAGAAAAUGGUGCCAGUAAAUGAAUUCACAAGGAGAAAUGCUUCCUUGCCAACUCACUUCUCCAGAUUAUUGAGUGCAUCUAUCUGUUUGCUUUUGGCUUCACGCAAUUGGCCCUCUUCAGUUCCGUACUCUUUCCUAAAUACCUUGCAAGUUUUCCUCUUCUCUCAUGCCAUUUAUAAUAUGCUGACGCCUGAUUAGAGGAAGGAAGGACUCAGCUGCACUUGCACUGGGGGAAGGGCCACUUACAGGAAGCCUACCUGGGGCUGAGCUGGGUCUCACUGCCUCCUAGACCUAAGGGCCCCAGCUUUUCCCUCAUCUCUUGUUGCAGCCACCACUUGUUCUAGAUCUGCAUCCAUAUCUGUAAAAUGGGGGUGAUAAUACCUUCCCAUAAAGUCACUGUGAGGAUUAAAUGUCCGGCACAAUAUUUGAUGCAUAGUGGUGCUGAAUAAUAUUUAUUGUCAUUACUAUCAUUAUUAUUGGCUGCUACCUUCAUUUUGAAAUUCUAUCCAUGAGCUACAUUAAUUAACCUGCAUUCAGUGUCAGGAUGUAUUUCUUAAUUUAGAUUUUUAAAUUUUUAGAGCAUGUGGCUAACCAUGAAUGUUGCAUUUUCUCAGUACCUAUUUAUUCAUAUGAAACUAUAGGUCUGGGCUCAGAGUUCAUCAAUAUUUAUAGAGAAGGCUCUACCUGUUGAGCACUGUGCUAGGCAUCCCCAGAGAUGCUGGCCUACUUCAUGCCUUAGGCAGCCCCACACGUGAGCAUUACUAACCCAUUGCUGCUAUGAGAGCAUUCAGAAAGAAAGCAGUUUAAGUUGCUUGACUAAACUGGUAGAGUUGAAAUUAAACUCUGUCUCUUCAUGUUACUGGACUGCUUGGAUAUCUACUUUCAGAAAGACUACAGCUUGAUAUAAACAUUGUAGUUUUGCUCAUGGAAAACUUACAGUAAAUCUGGGCUGUUUCAACACAACUGUCAAACUGUUCACCUACAGCUGUAUUUUCUCUUGCAAUGGGUGAAUAAGGUACAAUGAUGGUUGUACAGACCAUUACUAUUAUUACCUGUUAAUUUACAUUUAAACAGAUUUAUAAUUUCUGGCCCUGAUUUCCAGUCCAGUAUACAGCAAAAAUCCAUAUUUUAAACUAAAAAUAAUGUGCUUUUCAUAAAAUCAUAAAGAAACCCACCUGGCUAUUGUCUGGGGACUUGCGAGAAGGAUCCUUUGUAGUUUUCUUCCAUGUCUUCUAAGGAAUAGUUUGGAACACAUAGUAAAUAGUCAAUUAAUACCAAAGGGCAUUUGCAAAACUAUCAACUCCCAGUUUAUAUAAAGGACCAGCCACCAGAAUUAUACAUGAAUUAAAAAGUUAGCACACCAUAGUCAGAGAAGGACAACUUGGGAAUAGUUGUGUAACAGCCGUGAGGGUAAGCGAAGGGUCUGUCUACCUGUGCCUUCCCAGAAUACUGCCUCUCUUCUGGUCUGCUUUGGGAACAGUCAACAGGAAAGAAAAAGUAGACAGAUAGAGUCAGUGCGCUGAAUAAAAGAAGAUUCUAGAUCACUACAAGAGGCUUGUCAUUUGAGGCAAAGUGUCUGAGAGAGGAAGGUUUUUAUGGCCUCAAUGGGGAGACUGGUCACUGAUAAAGCGUUCUGGAUCUUUUGUGGGCCGGAAGAUAAGUUGAGUUUUGGUUAAUGUUUAAUGAUGCAGAACAAAAGUCAUAAAUAGUCCAUGAGAAAUAAGAGCACAAAUGAUUGGGAUUGGACAGUUUGCUUAUUCAGCUGCAAAAUGUGCUGUGUUCUAUUCUUGUCAUCCCCCCAUGGUAUAACAAAAUGCAGUGUGACAAGGAAUAUAAAUGUCCCCUAAUGCAUGGGCAGCUUUUUCUGUUCUAAGAGAGUCAGCAUGAGUCACUCAGCAGGUGAAAAAUGUUUAAUUUAGAGAAAAUAGGAUAAAUAGCAAUAGCUUCC
RNAcentral lists this long non-coding RNA (5013 nucleotides) under Homo sapiens (human). Its description in RNAcentral is "HSALNT0099495". The record is from RNAcentral. Lineage: Eukaryota; Metazoa; Chordata; Mammalia; Primates; Hominidae.